RNAcentral lists this ribosomal RNA (253 nucleotides) under uncultured bacterium. RNAcentral describes it as "partial 16S ribosomal RNA". It matches the Rfam family "Bacterial small subunit ribosomal RNA", at positions 524 to 776 of the family's 1533-position model. The record is from RNAcentral.
UACGAAGGGGGCUAGCGUUGCUCGGAAUUACUGGGCGUAAAGCGCACGUAGGCGGCUUUCUAAGUCGGGGGUGAAAUCCUGGAGCUCAACUCCAGAACUGCCUUCGAUACUGGAGAGCUCGAGUCCGGGAGAGGUGAGUGGAACUGCGAGUGUAGAGGUGAAAUUCGUAGAUAUUCGCAAGAACACCAGUGGCGAAGGCGGCUCACUGGCCCGGUACUGACGCUGAGGUGCGAAAGCGUGGGGAGCAACAGGG